GACGAACGCUGGCGGCGUGCUUAACACAUGCAAGUCGAACGGAAAGGCCCUGCUUUUGUGGGGUGCUCGAGUGGCGAACGAGUGAGUAACACGUGAGUAACCUGCCCUUGACUUUGGGAUAACUUCAGGAAACUGGGGCUAAUACCGGAUAGGAGCUCCUGCUGCAUGGUGGGGGUUGGAAAGUUUCGGCGGUUGGGGAUGGACUCGCGGCUUAUCAGCUUGUUGGUGGGGUAGUGGCUUACCAAGGCUUUGACGGGUAGCCGGCCUGAGAGGGUGACCGGCCACAUUGGGACUGAGAUACGGCCCAGACUCCUACGGGAGGCAGCAGUGGGGAAUAUUGCACAAUGGGCGGAAGCCUGAUGCAGCAACGCCGCGUGCGGGAUGACGGCCUUCGGGUUGUAAACCGCUUUCGCCUGUGACGAAGCGUGAGUGACGGUAAUGGGUAAAGAAGCACCGGCUAACUACGUGCCAGCAGCCGCGGUGAUACGUAGGGUGCGAGCGUUGUCCGGAUUUAUUGGGCGUAAAGGGCUCGUAGGUGGUUGAUCGCGUCGGAAGUGUAAUCUUGGGGCUUAACCCUGAGCGUGCUUUCGAUACGGGUUGACUUGAGGAAGGUAGGGGAGAAUGGAAUUCCUGGUGGAGCGGUGGAAUGCGCAGAUAUCAGGAGGAACACCAGUGGCGAAGGCGGUUCUCUGGGCCUUUCCUGACGCUGAGGAGCGAAAGCGUGGGGAGCGAACAGGCUUAGAUACCCUGGUAGUCCACGCUGUAAACGGUGGGUACUAGGUGUGGGGUCCAUUCCACGGGUUCCGUGCCGUAGCUAACGCUUUAAGUACCCCGCCUGGGGAGUACGGCCGCAAGGCUAAAACUCAAAGGAAUUGACGGGGCCCCGCACAAGCGGCGGAGCAUGCGGAUUAAUUCGAUGCAACGCGUAGAACCUUACCUGGGUUUGACAUGGAUCGGGAGUGCUCAGAGAUGGGUGUGCCUCUUUUGGGGUCGGUUCACAGGUGGUGCAUGGCUGUCGUCAGCUCGUGUCGUGAGAUGUUGGGUUAAGUCCCGCAACGAGCGCAACCCUUGUUCACUGUUGCCAGCACGUUAUGGUGGGGACUCAGUGGAGACCGCCGGGGUCAACUCGGAGGAAGGUGGGGAUGACGUCAAGUCAUCAUGCCCCUUAUGUCCAGGGCUUCACGCAUGCUACAAUGGCUGGUACAGAGAGUGGCGAGCCUGUGAGGGUGAGCGAAUCUCGGAAAGCCGGUCUCAGUUCGGAUUGGGGUCUGCAACUCGACCUCAUGAAGUCGGAGUCGCUAGUAAUCGCAGAUCAGCAACGCUGCGGUGAAUACGUUCCCGGGGCU
This 1346-nucleotide ribosomal RNA is filed under the name uncultured bacterium. RNAcentral describes it as "partial 16S ribosomal RNA". It matches the Rfam family "Bacterial small subunit ribosomal RNA", at positions 28 to 1381 of the family's 1533-position model. The record is from RNAcentral.